Molecule: ribosomal RNA, 497 nt
Filed under: uncultured bacterium
Lineage: Bacteria
Description: partial 16S ribosomal RNA
Rfam family: Bacterial small subunit ribosomal RNA
Source: RNAcentral
GAUGAACGCUGGCGGCGUGCCUAAUACAUGCAAGUCGAGCGAACAGACGAGGAGCUUGCUCCUCUGACGUUAGCGGCGGACGGGUGAGUAACACGUGGAUAACCUACCUAUAAGACUGGGAUAACUUCGGGAAACCGGAGCUAAUACCGGAUAAUAUAUUGAACCGCAUGGUUCAAUAGUGAAAGACGGUUUUGCUGUCACUUAUAGAUGGAUCCGCGCCGCAUUAGCUAGUUGGUAAGGUAACGGCUUACCAAGGCAACGAUGCGUAGCCGACCUGAGAGGGUGAUCGGCCACACUGGAACGGAGACACGGGCCAGACUCCUACGGGAGGCAGCAGUAGGGAAUCUUCCGCAAUGGGCGAAAGCCUGACGGAGCAACGCCGCGUGAGUGAUGAAGGUCUUCGGAUCGUAAAACUCUGUUAUUAGGGAAGAACAAAUGUGUAAGUAACUAUGCACGUCUUGACGGUACCUAAUCAGAAAGCCACGGCUAACUACGUG